UACGAGGGGGGCGAGCGUUAUUCGGAAUCACUGGGCGUAAAGCGUGCGUAGGCUGUCUAGCAAGUUGGAAGUGAAAGCCCGGGGCUUAACCCCGGAAUUGCUUUCAAAACUGCAAGACUCGAAUUCGGGAGAGGAUAGCGGAAUUCCCAGUGUAGUAGUGAAAUACGUAGAUAUUGGGAGGAACACCAGUGGCGCAAGCGGCUAUCUGGACCGACAUUGACGCUGAGGCACGAAAGCGUGGGGAUCAAACAGG
RNAcentral lists this ribosomal RNA (253 nucleotides) under uncultured bacterium. RNAcentral's name for it is "partial 16S ribosomal RNA". It matches the Rfam family "Bacterial small subunit ribosomal RNA", at positions 524 to 776 of the family's 1533-position model. The record is from RNAcentral.